Molecule: long non-coding RNA, 393 nt
Filed under: Salmo salar (Atlantic salmon)
Lineage: Eukaryota; Metazoa; Chordata; Actinopteri; Salmoniformes; Salmonidae
Description: lncRNA (ENSSSAG00000097229.1, ENSSSAG00000099919.1, ENSSSAG00075058112.1)
Source: RNAcentral
AAACCCUGACAAACUUUUACAGAUGCACAAUUGAGAGCAUCCUGUCGGGCUUUAUCACCACCUGGUAUGGCAACUGCACCGCCCUCAACCGCAAGGCUCACCAGGGGGUGGUGCGGUCUGCACAACGCAUCACUGGGGGCAAACUACCUGGCCUCCAGGACACCUACAGCACCCAAUGUCACAGGAAGGCCAAAAAUAUCAUCAAGGACAACAACCACUGCCUGUUCACCGCGCUACCAUCCAGAAGAGCCAUAUACAUAGAUAGACAUCACAUUAUUGCAUCUAUGAGAACAUGGGCAAUGCUAGCCUCCAUAAAGAGUGGAAGACCAACAGCACAGACAACCGGUGUAUAACAUUACAAUUGUAUAGCUUUGUAGACUGCGGUGAAUGAAC